This 518-nucleotide ribosomal RNA is filed under the name Delphinus delphis (saddleback dolphin). Its description in RNAcentral is "partial 16S ribosomal RNA". It matches the Rfam family "Bacterial large subunit ribosomal RNA", at positions 1838 to 2581 of the family's 2925-position model. Lineage: Eukaryota; Metazoa; Chordata; Mammalia; Artiodactyla; Delphinidae. The record is from RNAcentral.
AACUAGUAUUAGAGGCACUGCCUGCCCAGUGACAAUCGUUAAACGGCCGCGGUAUCUUGACCGUGCAAAGGUAGCAUAAUCACUUGUUCUCUAAAUAAGGACUUGUAUGAAUGGCCACACGAGGGUUUUACUGUCUCUUACUCUUAAUCAGUGAAAUUGACCUCCCCGUGAAGAGGCGGGGAUAAUACAAUAAGACGAGAAGACCCUAUGGAGCUUUAAUUAAUCAACUCAAAAAGCAUAAAACAAUACCACCAAGGGAUAACAAAGCUUUAAAUGAGCUGACAAUUUCGGUUGGGGUGACCUCGGAGUAUAAAAAACCCUCCGAGUGAUUAAAACUUAGGCCUACUAGCCAAAGUAUAGUAUCACUUAUUGAUCCAAAAUUUUGAUCAACGGAACAAGUUACCCUAGGGAUAACAGCGCAAUCCUAUUCUAGAGUCCAUAUCGACAAUAGGGUUUACGACCUCGAUGUUGGAUCAGGACAUCCUAAUGGUGCAGCAGCUAUUAAGGGUUCGUUUGUU